RNAcentral lists this transfer RNA (87 nucleotides) under Candidatus Competibacteraceae bacterium. RNAcentral's name for it is "tRNA-Ser". It matches the Rfam family "tRNA". Rfam says of the family: Transfer RNA (tRNA) molecules are approximately 80 nucleotides in length. Their secondary structure includes four short double-helical elements and three loops (D, anti-codon, and T loops). Further hydrogen bonds mediate the characteristic L-shaped molecular structure. tRNAs have two regions of fundamental functional importance: the anti-codon, which is responsible for specific mRNA codon recognition, and the 3' end, to which the tRNAs corresponding amino acid is attached (by aminoacyl-tRNA synthetases). tRNAs cope with the degeneracy of the genetic code in two manners: having more than one tRNA (with a specific anti-codon) for a particular amino acid; and 'wobble' base-pairing, i.e. permitting non-standard base-pairing at the 3rd anti-codon position. The record is from RNAcentral. Lineage: Bacteria; Pseudomonadati; Pseudomonadota; Gammaproteobacteria; Candidatus Competibacteraceae.
GGAGAGGUGCAGGAGUGGUUGAACUGGCUACCCUGGAAAGGUAGUAUACUCGAAAGGGUAUCGAGGGUUCGAAUCCCUCUCUCUCCG